AUGAGUUACCGUGGCGAUCGCAGGCAGAGACAGCUGCUGUCUGCUGGCCACUUCAUCAGCGUGAGGGGGGGGGGGGUGAAAAACAGGAAGAAAAAGGAGAGAGGAGGCAGAAAAACAGGAAGAAAAAGGAGAGAGGAGGCAGAAAAACAGGAAGAAAAAGGAGAGAGGAGGCAGAAAAACAGGAAGAAAAAGGAGAGAGGAGGCAGAAAAACACAGCAUCAUGAGGAGGAGGAGAGGGGACAGCAUCAUGAGGAGGAGGAGAGGGGACAGCAGCAUGAGGAGGAGGAGAGGGGACAGCAGCAUGAGGAGGAGGAGAGGGGACAGCAGCAUGAGGAGGAGGAGAGGGGACAGCAUCAUGAGGAGGAGGAGGAGAGGGGACAGCAUCAUGAGGAGGAGGAGAGGGGACAGCAGCAUGAGGAGGAGGAGAGGGGACAGCAGCAUGAGGAGGAGGAGAGGGGACAGCAUCAUGAGGAGGAGGAGGAGAGGGGACAGCAUCAUGAGGAGGAGGAGAGGGGACAGCAGCAUGAGGAGGAGGAGAGGGGACAGCAUCAUGAGGAGGAGGAGGAGAGGGGACAGCAUCAUGAGGAGGAGGAGAGGGGACAGCAGCAUGAGGAGGAGGAGAGGGGACAGCAUCAUGAGGAGGAGGAGGAGAGGGGACAGCAUCAUGAGGAGGAGGAGAGGGGACAGCAGCAUGAGGAGGAGGAGAGGGGACAGCAGCAUGAGGAGGAGGAGAGGGGACAGCAUCAUGAGGAGGAGGAGGAGAGGGGACAGCAGCAUGAGGAGGAGGAGAGGGGACAGCAUCAUGAGGAGGAGGAGGAGAGGGGACAGCAUCAUGAGGAGGAGGAGAGGGGACAGCAGCAUGAGGAGGAGGAGAGGGGACAGCAUCAUGAGGAGGAGGAGGAGGAGAGGGGACAGCAGCAUGAGGAGGAGAGGGGACAGCAUCAUGAGGAGGAGGAGGAGAGGGGACAGCAUCAUGAGGAGGAGGAGAGGGGACAGCAGCAUGAGGAGGAGGAGGAGGAGAGGGGACAGCAUCAUGAGGAGGAGGAGGAGAGGGGACAGCAUCACGAGGAGGAGGAGGAGGAGAGGGGACAGCAUCAUGAGGAGGAGGAGGAGGAGAGGGGACAGCAUCAUGAGGAGGAGAGGGGACAGCAUCAUGAGGAGGAGGAGGAGAGGGGACAGCAUCAUGAGGAGGAGGAGAGGGGACAGCAGCAUGAGGAGGAGGAGGAGGAGAGGGGACAGCAUCAUGAGGAGGAGGAGAGGGGACAGCAGCAUGAGGAGGAGGAGGAGGAGAGGGGACAGCAUCAUGAGGAGGAGGAGGAGGAGAGGGGACAGCAGCAUGAGGAGGAGGAGGAGGAGGAGGAGGAGAGGGGACAGCAGCAUCAGAUGGGAGCAUGGGGCCCAGGCCGCCACCGCGUCACCACCAGCGAACGCCUGAUCCCUCCUGGAGGAGCUGUCAGGACCUGUGGAGAACAUGUGGAGCAGCAUCACCACGGCGACGGGCCGCCCUGA
This 1509-nucleotide long non-coding RNA is filed under the name Takifugu rubripes (torafugu). RNAcentral's name for it is "lncRNA (ENSTRUG00000031168.1)". Lineage: Eukaryota; Metazoa; Chordata; Actinopteri; Tetraodontiformes; Tetraodontidae. The record is from RNAcentral.